Molecule: ribosomal RNA, 506 nt
Filed under: Clostridioides difficile
Lineage: Bacteria; Bacillati; Bacillota; Clostridia; Peptostreptococcales; Peptostreptococcaceae
Description: bacterial LSU rRNA
Rfam family: Bacterial large subunit ribosomal RNA
Source: RNAcentral
UGCUGGGAUGUGAUGGGGAGCGAAAUUUAGUAGCGAAGUAGCUGAUUUCACACUGUCAAGAAAAGUCUCUAUCGAGGUUAAAGGUACCCGUACCGCAAACCGACACAGGUGGGUGAGGAGAGUAUCCUAAGGCCAGCGAGAGAACUGUUGUUAAGGAACUCGGCAAAAUGACCCCGUAACUUAGGGAUAAGGGGUGCCACCAUCAGGUGGCCGCAGAGAAUAGGCCCAAGCGACUGUUUACCAAAAACAUAGGUUUCUGCUAAGUCGCAAGACGAUGUAUAGGAGCUGACGCCUGCCCGGUGCUGGAAGGUUAAGGGGAUCUGUUAGAGCAAUCGAAGCAGUGAACUUAAGCCCCAGUAAACGGCGGCCGUAACUAUAACGGUCCUAAGGUAGCGAAAUUCCUUGUCGGGUAAGUUCCGACCCGCACGAAAGGCGUAACGAUUUGGGCACUGUCUCAACAACAGACGCGGUGAAAUUGUAAUUCCGGUGAAGAUGCCGGAUACCUG